This 253-nucleotide ribosomal RNA is filed under the name uncultured bacterium. RNAcentral's name for it is "partial 16S ribosomal RNA". It matches the Rfam family "Bacterial small subunit ribosomal RNA", at positions 524 to 776 of the family's 1533-position model. The record is from RNAcentral.
UACGGAGGGGGCUAGCGUUGUUCGGAAUUACUGGGCGUAAAGCGCACGUAGGCGGCUUUGUAAGUUAGAGGUGAAAGCCCAGGGCUUAACCCUGGAAUUGCCUUUAAGACUGCAUCGCUAGAAUCGUGGAGAGGUAAGUGGAAUUCCGAGUGUAGAGGUGAAAUUCGUAGAUAUUGGGAAGAACACCGGUGGCGAAGGCGGCGCUCUGGACCGAGACUGACGCUGAGGCGCGAAAGCGUGGGGAGCAAACAGG